This is a long non-coding RNA of Anolis carolinensis (green anole), 5010 nucleotides long. RefSeq lists it as uncharacterized. The transcript is spliced from 3 exons. The record is from RefSeq and is a predicted model, not a curated record. NCBI's taxonomy places the organism in Eukaryota, Metazoa, Chordata, Lepidosauria, Squamata, Anolidae.
CAGGCAUCCACAGAGGUUGUGAGGUCUGUUGGAAACUAGGCAAGUGGGGUUUAUAUAUCUUUGGAAAGUUCAGGGUGGGAGAAAGAACUUUUGCUGUUUGAGGCAAGUGUGAAUGUUGCAAUUGGCCACCUUGAUUAGCAUUGAAAAGCCUUGCAGCUUCAAAGCCUGGCUGUUUCCUUCUUGGGGAAUCUUUUGUUGGGAGGUGUUAGCUGACCCUGAUUGUUUCAUGUCUGGAAUUCCUCUGAUUUCUGAGCAUUGUUCUUUAUUUACUGUCCUGAUUUUAGAGUUUUUAAUACUGGUAGCCAGAUUUUGUUCAUCUUCAUGAACAAAAUUUCCUCCUUUCUGUUGAAAGGAUUCCCCAGGCAGGAAGCAGCCAGACUUUGAAGGUGCAAGGCCAUUUAAUGCUAAUCAAGGUGGCCCAUUGCACCAUUCACACUUGUCUCAAACAGCAAAAGUUCUUCCUCCCACCCUGGACUUUCCACAGAUAUAUAAACCCCACUUGCCUAGUUCCAACAGACCUCACAGCCUCUGAGGAUGCCUGCUAUAGAUGCAGGCAAAACGUCGGGAGAAAAUGCUUCUGGAACAUGGCCAUACAGUCCCGGAAAACUCACAGCAACAGCAACACAACUAUUCCGGCCAUGAAAGCCUUCGACAACACAUUGCUAAAAUAUUUUUAAACAAUUUAAUUCCCAUCACUCUUGGAAAGACAUUGUCACCUCUCUUUCCAAAAACAUUCCUAAGGCAAGUCCACCGUCCCACCAAAGUUAAGUAUUAAAAUAACAAUACAACCUCCCUCCCCCCCUCCCCCAAACAGAAGUCCUCACGUUUUACAACUGGUAACUCCAAAGCUCAACUUUGGGGAGCAUUAUAUUUCCCCAUUAUUUCCCCAUUGUCCUUUUAUUUUUAUAAUGUGUGUUUUGGAUUUCAGUCGCUUGUAACUUAAUUCCCUCUCCCUCCCCGAUUUCUUUCUCUCGUUUUUGGUUAAUCGCUAGGGUUUGUCGGGCAGGAAGGACUUGGGAGGGGAGAAGAAAAGGCCGAGCGAAUGGGAACUCCAGGUACAGGGAAGUGGGUCGCGGAGAAGGCGUGAGAACAAGCCUCAGGUGUAGGUUCCCUUCUAACCUCCCUUUCUUGCCUCUGCCUUAGGAAGCUGAAGCGACUGCAGAGAGUUGUGGAGACGCCUGGGAGGCCGCAAAAUUUCCAUACAAAUCCCACUAAAUUCAACGACCCGAAUUCCAUUUCACGGGAGGAAUGAAUGGACUCCUUUCCAAGGAGGCGAGUUCGGAUUUUGUCUCAUGGCUGAAGCUGGAUAAGAAAUCGUAGGUUCUCCUCUUUGGCUACAACCGGAAGAAAGUGUUCUCCUGUGCAAGCCUUAUUCAAGAUUCUCACAGCAUGGAGAACCGACAUGUUGUUGUGUUUUGAGUGUUUGGGUUCGGAAUCCGAGAGACCAGGAUUCCUCUUCAGCGAUGGAAACCCACUGGGUGACUUCGGGCAAAUCUCUAACCCCUUUGAAAUUAGAAUGAUUUUAGAGGAUUUAAAGUAGCUCUUAAUUUUAUGAACAACGGGGAAAAUAAUAGUUCUGCCAGAGGGCAAAGUCACAGCGGUGACCAACGCCCUGGAAAUGUCCAAAAUGAACGUUAAGUGGGUUAAUUCAACAAUUCAGAAAACUUUGCAAUCGCUCUUCCUGUUUCCACCACUAAAGUAGUUUAGGAACAUUAUAAAUUCUGUAUUCUGCCUCAACUGCUUCGGAUGUGAGGCUUGAUUUUAAAACACAACACCACAGUUCGGUCCUGAAGACAUCUAAAGGACAUUUGGUCUGAAAUCCUAUAUUCAUUUAACUAGGAGCCAAUUGGUUGAACACGUAUAGGACUGCUGCAUUAUGGUGUAAAUUUGGGGUAGAGAGAAAUCGGUUUGAAUGUGCACAGAUUGGAGCUAGGGAGCUAUAAAAAUCAAAAUAAAUAAAACCACACUAGCCAGAACUCAAAGGCGAAUCUUGACAGGGAGUUAGAGCACUGAUUCAAUGGAACUCACAUAAAUGUUCCUAUGCCAAGUACCCAUGGGCUAUUUGGCUAUGGACACCUCAGGAGGAAUUCUUUGCAUGACCCACAGAAAAUUAAUCAUAACUUUGUGCAUAUGGACUGGGCUAUGUAUGCAUGUAUGCAAUCCUCGUUUGAGAACUCAGAAAUGAAGGCCAAUGCAAUUCACUCCAUCUUCCUCUACAGGACUGUAUGGCUUGAGGCUACCAUUAUAAUUGUGUUGAAAACACAGAAAUGCUGGACCACUCUAACAAUUACCAUUUUAUACCAUGCAGAAAAGCCCCUGAAAUCCACAAGCAUGUGGACAAUUUCAACAGAAAGGAGAAAAGCAUGAAAAUGAAUAACAUCUGACUACCAGUACUAAAAAAAACCCCUCUAAAAUCAGGAUAGUAAAUAAAAAAACUAACACUCAAAAACAGGGGGAUUCCAGACAUGAAACAAUCAGGGCCAGCUAAAACCUCCUAACAAAGGAUUCCCCCAGGAAAGUAAGUAGCCAGGUUUUGACACUGCAAGGUUAUUCAAUGCUAAUCAAGUUGGCUAAUUGCAAAAUUCACACUUGCCUCAAAUAGGCAAGAGUUCUUUUUCCCACCCUAGACCUUCCACAGAUAUAUAAACCUCACUUGUCCAGUCUCCAACAGACCUCACAACUUCUGAGGGUGCCUGCCAUAAAUGGGGGCAAAACAUCAGGAGAUAAUGCUUCUGGAACAUACAGCUCGGGAAAACUCACAGCAACCCACUGAAAUGGUAUCAUUAUUGGACUGGGGAUCCAGGGAAUCAGCCUUCAAAUCCCCGCUCAGUCACGGAAACCUAAGCCUCAGAGGAAUGCAAUGACAAACCCUCUCUGAACAAAUGUGUCCAGGAGAACUCCAUGGUAGGUUCACUUUAGGGUGAGCAUAGGGUUUGAAGCCGUACAAAUUCCAGCUGGAGGAGACGAACUGAAUACAUGAUAAUUCAACACUUGUGUAGUCUCAUUGAUUCGGUGUGUCUACUCUAAGUCGGACUAGCAUUCGGAUUUCGAGAAUAAAAUUCUAACUCAUUUUCUCUCCCUCCCGCAAUAAACAAGUUCGGGGACUGAGAUGUAGGUAGAGUUUGGUGUAUACACCUCGGCUGCUCUUUCUCUUAAUCUUUGAUUUUGUUCUCAAGGGCCCUCCUUAAAUUAUGGCGGCAUCUCUUUGCCUGCUUCCUCGGGAGUUAAGUCCUACGGAUCUCAGGAAGAAGUCCUGCCGGCUAAAGGGCCUGGAGGCAAGAGGGGGAUUUCCUUACAAAACACAGGCGAUAGACAUCUAUCAAAUGAAACUCUCGCGGCGGGUCCGAAAUAGAUUUCAGAGACUCUCAAUGGACUCAUCACUGGAAGAGCCCGAAUUGGGCCAAUGCGCAACACAAUCUAGCUGCCAAAGUGAAAGGCCAGGAAUACAGAAAUUGCCAUCUUUACCUCUGAAAACAGAUAUCUAGGAAUUUCUAGCUCUUCCAGCAGGACUCUAUGGUCUAUCUCCAUUCGAGGACUAGAGAUUCUCAGAGAGCUUUCUCCAACAAGAUGGUAGAAAGUUGACCUUAGAGUCACAUUGGAAGACUCAGAAAUUCCCAAAGAGAACUUUUUAAUCAAAUCUGUGAAUAAUCAAAUCCAUACGAGUCAAAACCGCAAAUGUGGAGGGACGCUCUAUUGGAAAAUACCAGCACUUACUCUCUGAGCACAAAGGAAAAAUGAUGUCAUAUCCGUUUGGCAAAUGUGAAUUUUCAUGAACAUGUGGAGACCACCUUUUGAAAACCUCUAGUCCAGAAAAGUAUGAUCUUGUUAGACGUCAACUCUUUGAACAAGUGAUAUUCAGAAGUGCUCAUGUAAUGGCACACAGGUAACUCAGCUGUUAGACUGAAAAACCAUGUCUUUUAACUGCCAUGGACAAAUACAUGGCACUACAAAAUAUAUUUGGUAAGCAGAGGAUGGCUGUUUCUUUGAAGUUGAAAUUGUAGUUGUAUUUGUUCAAAAUAUAUAUACUCCCUUUAAAAGCCUUUUAGUUUAAAAUAUGCACACAGAGAUAAAAAACCAGUCUCCUUUUAAAAGAACAUAUCUUAUUUACUCAUUAACAACUUGUAUUAAUUCUCCAUACAGGUAUAUUUCUUAUUGAAUUUCAGUUACAGAUAGGAUGUAGCUUCUUUGCCUUGAGUCAUUCUUAAUCAAUAGUCCAUAGUCUUUAAGAAUAGUUGUACUCACUGAAGUCCAUAAGCAAUAUGCAUCCACCUCCACUGAACAUCUGCUUUCAUUGAAGGCCAAACACACACUGAAUACAAAAUGGAGUCCUGAGUCUGAACAUGCUCAGCACAAUCUCAUGUUUAUAUUCCUUCCUACACCAAAGAGGUACAGUCAAACUGACAAAUCAACACACACACAGAAUACAGGUUGGAAAAUAUAUACAUUAACAAAUAGUGUAGGCUUGGGAGUUUGCUAUUUCCAACAUGCUCAGGUCCAUUCUGUGAGCUUGGGCAAGUCAGCCCUCAAAUAAAUCUUAACAAGAAAACUGUGGGAUCUAUUUGAAAACACAAAAUAACAGCAAUCUAUGGCCAAAAUCCCUCCUUACUAGAGUAAACCCAUUGAAUCAGUGAAUCUUCUUAUAUAGAAAAAAAUUGAGUAUAAAUAAACAUAAUACUAAUACUAAUAAUAAUAAUAAUAAUAAUGUUUUCCGUGUGUUGACUCAUCAUUCAACAGCUGAGUCAUUUACCAACAGCAUAUAGAUGUAUAUCUAUUAGUAGAUAGAUAUGAAUCUCUCACAGCUAGAAUGUCUAUAUCCAUGUAGGUUGGCAUUCUGUUGAGAUGGAGACCAGCUGCUUUUUAGGAUUAGUAAUACUUUGUAAUCAAUUUCAUAGAUUUAGUAGGGUUGAAAUUGUUUGGUCUGUCUUCCUUCUUCCCCCUCUUCCUCAACCAAUUCUCUUUGGAUGAAACAGAAAUAAAGUAGUGGAGGCUAAUUCCAAGCCAGGUCUAGGA